UCAAAGUUUUAGGCUUCUUUCAAAAUUUUGCCAUGGCUUCCCGUAAAAUUUAUUCAAAAUUUUUAUUUAAACAACUGCCAGAUAUAGAUAAACAUAUUACUAAGGACAAUAUUGUAAGCACCCCAAUUUUUAUGGAACCCAUCCCAAUACCUGUCGAAAAAGGAGCUACGCCCAUCAAAACUACGAUUGUUAGUAAAGUAAAAAAAUUAUUUUAUGGUAACGAUUCGUAAAAUAUUAACAAGGUAGUGACGUCCCUGUUUGUGAGUGCUUCUAGAAUAUGCAUGUCUAUGGUCGAGUUAAUCUAAACUAAUAUGAAAAUAACAUGUAGAAGAAUAAUCAAUUGCAGCAGAAGAGGUACUGCACGAUCAUAGGAAAGUCAAAAACGAUAUUGCAUGGUGUUUGAAUGGUUAUUUACUUUCUGGAGUACAAGAUAUAGAUCUAGGAAUUUGAUGUUCACAUAUUAAAUAUAAUAGAUAAUUAAAGCUCUUCACAGCAGUUUCUAGAAGCCAGAUAUCAGCGAAGGAUGAAGAAAUUUUAAUCAUUCUUAAAUCCUGAUUUGAACUAACUAUUGAACAGGCAUGUUCAAUAGGCAUGCAUGGAAAUAAUAAGUAUUUAACUAUUCGUUCUGUUCUUACAUGAACGACUUAUGUUUUUGACCAUUUCUAUGUACUCGACUCGAUGUUGCUACUCACAUAAAUCAGCUUUCCAGAGACGUCAUUUAGAUUUGAAGAAAUCGUGGUCUAUUUCGUUGAUAGUAGAGCCAUCAGUAGUGAUCCACGUUACAUUGGAAUGCCUACACUUGUAGGCUAUGCAGUUUUCCUUUUAUUUGGCUUGAAUAAUGAAAAACUACCGCUAUUUUGAACUUUCAAAGUCUAUGUACGCUCGUGUACUGUAACUAGAACUACAUCCUGUGUGUUAUUUCAAGCCUGGAGCAGUUUUCCCGUUCAAGGACUGUUUUCCGUUGCAUGUAUUCAAUUUUCUUUAUAUAUCGCUAUUGGACCAUUCUGCUCUAUUAAUUGCAAUGUUGUUGGUUUCAGUUACGCUUAAACUCGUACAUGGAUCGGCAUCUCUAAAACCGUUAUGGCAACUGUUGUUGGUGAUGUAGAAAGAUUUCUCGACAUUUUAAAAUUUUUUCCUAGGAGUAAUAUGUUUCCUCUGCUGUUUUUUUUAAUAUAUGCCGAACGAUUGAAUAUAUUCUAUGGCUGAAGGAAUAUAAAAGACUUAGAGAUAUUGUCUUUUUUAAGUUAAAAAAAAUUUAAUAUUCAUGUUAAGCAGUAAAUGAGUAUAAUAUGUAUGUUGUUUAAAUGUCCACAUAUACAUAUCUUUUAAUAAAUUUUGGCUUCUAAUG
Molecule: long non-coding RNA, 1348 nt
Organism: Teleopsis dalmanni
Lineage: Eukaryota; Metazoa; Arthropoda; Insecta; Diptera; Diopsidae
Exons: 5
Source: RefSeq, a predicted model, not a curated record